This 205-nucleotide ribosomal RNA is filed under the name uncultured bacterium. RNAcentral describes it as "partial 16S ribosomal RNA". It matches the Rfam family "Bacterial small subunit ribosomal RNA", at positions 568 to 774 of the family's 1533-position model. The record is from RNAcentral.
CGCGUAGGCGGUGAGAUGUGUGUGAUGUGAAAGCCCCGGGCUUAACCUGGGAAGUGCAUCGCAAACUAUCUGACUGGAGUAUAUGAGAGGGUGGCGGAAUUUCCGGUGUAGCGGUGAAAUGCGUAGAGAUCGGAAGGAACGUCAAUGGCGAAGGCAGCCACCUGGCAUAAUACUGACGCUGAGGCGCGAAGCGUGGGAGCGAACA